RNAcentral lists this long non-coding RNA (2490 nucleotides) under Homo sapiens (human). RNAcentral's name for it is "HSALNT0403630". Lineage: Eukaryota; Metazoa; Chordata; Mammalia; Primates; Hominidae. The record is from RNAcentral.
AGCUACUUGGGAGGCUGAGGCAGGAGAAUGGCGUGAACCUGGGAGGCGGAGCUUGCAGUGAGCCGAGAUCCCGUCACUGCACUCCAGCCUGGGCGACAGAGCGAGACUCCGUCUCAAAAAAAAAUAAAUAAAAAAAAUAAUUAGUUGCUCACUGCCUAACCAAUAAAUGUUAGUGUACUGGGCAGGGAAGGGAAAGAGAAGAAUUAGGUUGAUGUAAUUCAUUUAUUAUCUGGAAGCUCAAUAGGGAAUGUGACAUGAAUGAAUUUAAGCAAGUCUGGGCAUAUUGGGAGGCAAUUCUCCAUGUAUGUCUUGCAAAUAAAGGCAUUGGUGAUGAUCACUCUGUCUUUUCGAGGAUGUUGGUAGAGCAAACAGCUUUUGAAGAUAGAGAUGAUUUCUCUCUCUGAAGGAAAAGGUGUUUGUCUACUUUGCAGUCUAAUAAAUACAAUGUCUUCAUCUGGGGCAAACGUUGGGUUUCUUUUCUGCACCUCUAUUAAAAACUGGGGUUUUGCCAGCAAGGGGUUGCUCAUCUAUGAUGCAAACCCAUUGUGUGUGCUGUAUCCACCUGGGAAAAUAUGAAGAUAAGGAUGCUCAUUGUGCCUUCAGUAAUAAAGUCUUUUCUCUUUGAUCUAGGAGUCCAGUGUCUUCAGCCCAUCACGUUGAAGCUGUGGGGGCUAAUAUGUUAGCUUGCAAGUGGCUUAAUAUCUCAUAGUCUUCAUUCUUGAUAAAGCUUCCCUAGUUUCUCAUGGGAGAAGGGCCUACUGGGAUUAUGGAGUCAGAGAAAGUGAUGCACAGAGUUAGUCAUUGGAAGCUGCACACAUUCUAAAUCCAGCAAUCACUGUCCUGAGUGAACAUGAAGUUCUGCAAUUACUCAGUGAUCACAAAGGUCCUCAAAGCUAACACUACUCACGAAGAUGGUGUGAGUUACAUUGGCUGACAAGCUCCAGCCAUGGACGCAAUUCCUUCUAGAAGCAAAAUUUAUCUCUAGACUCCUCCUGUAUUUUAAUUUAGCCACUUUUUUAGGGCCUACAAUUUUAGAUCUCCACAGGGCUCUUGAAACUUCUUGAACCUCAUCAGUAACAUGUCCAUUAGUGGCAUGACCCAAGAGUUCUAGAACAUCUAUUCAGCAAGUGUGUAUCUGAAAACUGAUCACCUCUGAUGAAUUAGAACGGAAUGACCAAGCUUUGGGAGAGGCAAAAGAAUUUCGGUGUUAAAGACUCAGAGUUUAAGAAGCAACAAAAAGAUUAUACAGAUGUGAAUAUGUGACCUUCCUCCACCAGGGCAUGUUGCCUUGGAAAAAAAUUUGCCUGCUCUGCUCAGGACCAUCACUCUGCCUGCCUGGGGCGGAACUGGAUUUUUUCCCCUGGAUUCUUUUCUUGUUGGGAGUGAGUGCAAAGCCUUCCAUCUAUCCCUGGCUACAAGCUGAAAGGCUGGGCACAGUUAAAAGUUUCUACUUUGCUUCAGGGUGUAAAUCUGGGUCCAUACAGGUGCUCUCCGCUGUAUGGUAGGCUACUUGAGGGGCCAUGAGCUUUCUUCUCCAUUUUCUCAACUUUGGCCAGAAACACAGCCAGAAGAUUGUGUAGGAUCAUUUGCCUUGCAAUUCAACCAUACGUUGCCACAUAGCAGAGGCUCAAAAGAACGAUGAAGCUCAAAGAGUUUCAAGAUUCAAAGUCUUCCAGGUCAAUAUUCAAACACAGAAACAGGGUUUCGCUAUGUUGACCAGGCUGGUCUUAAACUUCUGGCUUCAAGUGAUCUGCCUUCCUCGGUCUCCCAAAGUGCUGCUGUUAACCACUGGAGGGUGUCCAGGUUCUUGGUGUCUUGAACAAAGAAUUGGACAAAACGCACAAACAAAGCAAGCAAAGAAUGAAGCAACAAAAGCAGAGAUUUAUUGAAAAUGAAAGUACACUCCACAGUGUGGGAGCAGGCCUCAGAAUACGGGCUCAAGGGCCCUGUUACAGAUUUUUUUUGGGGGUUUAAAUACCCUCUAGAUGUUUCCAUUGGUUACUUGGUGUACACCCUAUGUAAAUGAAGAGGAUGAAGUAAAGUUACAAAGUCAUGUAUUUGGCCUAUUCCCUACAUAAAUGGAGAGGAUAUUUCCUGUCAUAGCUGUAAUGUUUCCAUGUGAUUUAGUUCUAGGAAGUCCUUAUGUUCCCUGUCUCCAAACCCUAUUCUCAUGCCUCACUGGGAUUACAGGGGUGAGCCACCGAACCUGGCCACCUUUUGUGUAUUUCUAUGUGGGCAUUCUUAACACAAACCAAACAAAAGUCAGCGUUUCUUCUCUUGAAACGGUCUCUGCCUUGUGGCACUUCUCUCUCUCUUUCUGUCUCUGAAAUGCUAUUAUGAAUUUUUGUUAUCGGCACUACCAUUCUUCAGUCAACCAGAGGAUUCAGUAUUGACUUUGACAGAACUCUCCUUUCCAAUUGGUUUCAAAUUCUUAUGCAUUCUACCUUUGUUUCACUGAUUUUGAAAAUUAAACAUUUUCACUAAAUGCAA